AGUGAACGCUGGCGGUAGGCCUAACACAUGCAAGUCGAACGGCAGCACAGUAAGAGCUUGCUCUUACGGGUGGCGAGUGGCGGACGGGUGAGGAAUACAUCGGAAUCUACUUUUUCGUGGGGGAUAACGUAGGGAAACUUACGCUAAUACCGCAUACGACCUACGGGUGAAAGCAGGGGAUCUUCGGACCUUGCGCGAUUGAAUGAGCCGAUGUCGGAUUAGCUAGUUGGCGGGGUAAAGGCCCACCAAGGCGACGAUCCGUAGCUGGUCUGAGAGGAUGAUCAGCCACACUGGAACUGAGACACGGCCCAGACUCCUACGGGAGGCAGCAGUGGGGAAUAUUGGACAAUGGGCGCAAGCCUGAUCCAGCCAUACCGCGUGGGUAAGAAGGCCUUCGGGUUGUAAAGCCCUUUUGUUGGGAAAGAAAAGCAGCAGGUUAAUACCCCGCUGUUCUGACGGUACCCAAAGAAUAAGCACCGGCUAACUUCGUG
This 491-nucleotide ribosomal RNA is filed under the name uncultured bacterium. Its description in RNAcentral is "partial 16S ribosomal RNA". It matches the Rfam family "Bacterial small subunit ribosomal RNA", at positions 29 to 507 of the family's 1533-position model. The record is from RNAcentral.